Molecule: unclassified non-coding RNA, 336 nt
Filed under: soil metagenome
Description: partial contains 5.8S ribosomal RNA, internal transcribed spacer 2, and large subunit ribosomal RNA
Rfam family: 5.8S ribosomal RNA (bases 3-119)
Source: RNAcentral
GAGAAGAACGCAGCGAAAUGCGAUAAGUAGUGUGAAUUGCAGAAUUCAGUGAAUCAUCGAAUCUUUGAACGCACAUUGCGCCCCUUGGUAUUCCAUGGGGCAUGCCUGUUCGAGCGUCAUUUGUACCCUCAAGCUUUGCUUGGUGUUGGGUGUUUGUCCCGCGUUGCGCGUGGACUCGCCUUAAAGCGAUUGGCAGCCGGCAUAUUGGCCUUGGAGCGCAGCACAUUUUGCGCUUCUAGUCAUGAAUGUUGGCGUCCAUUAAGCCUAUACAUUUGCUCUUGACCUCGGAUCAGGUAGGGAUACCCGCUGAACUUAAGCAUAUCAAUAAGCGGAGGA